Long non-coding RNA from Salvelinus sp. IW2-2015, 984 nucleotides. RefSeq lists it as uncharacterized. Lineage: Eukaryota; Metazoa; Chordata; Actinopteri; Salmoniformes; Salmonidae. The record is from RefSeq and is a predicted model, not a curated record. The transcript is spliced from 3 exons.
UUCUUGUUUUUACACAGAGUUUGGAGAGAACAUCAGAAGAGACCAGAGUCUGAUAUUCCCAGUGUUCCGUUUGCUCAGAAUUAUCCAGUGGACCUGUCCUCAAUAUUCAGGGAGUUUCAGUAUGUGUUUGAGAGAGUAGCUGAGCAAGGAAACCCAACACUUCUAAAGAAGAUCUACACAGAGCUCUACAUUACAGAGGGGGAAAGUGGAGAGGUCAACAUCAAGUGAGACAGAUUGAGACAUCAUCAAAGAAACCAGCGACACAGAUGCCUGCAGGCUCAGAUUGGACCUUUCUGUAUGAGAACAGAAUAGUGACAUGGGUGGGAGAGAAGCAGCCAUAUCCUGACCACCCAGAAAGGUUGGAGCACUCACAAUGUGCUGCGUAGAGAGAGUCUGACUGGAUGCUGCUCCUGGGGGACAGAAUGAAGAGGAUGGGCUCAUGUAGGAGUGACAUAUGAAAGGAUCYGAAGGAAAGGAGAGCAUGAUGACUAUCUCCAUGGCUACUAUGACAAAUCCUGGAUUCUAAAGUGCCCUGGUGGCAAUUAUACUGCCUGUCARAAUAGGAAGAAUACUGACAUGCAUGUCUUCUAUUCUCGCUCCGACACAGUAGGAGUGCAUCUGGACAGAGUCUAUUGUAACACACUGAUCCACCUUUACACAAAAUACCUGACAGUCACUGAGCCUCUCUACCCAGGGGUUCGGGUUGGCGCUCACUCCUCAGUGUCCCUGUGRCAGGUAGAACUCCGCGUCCUGUGUCCAGAAGGAACAUCUUCAGGAAAGUCACACUCCUGUUCAAACACAACUGUGGGACAUGAUGGGGCACUUUUUGCUGUCAUCAUGGCAGACAGCGGGGCGUUGUACUUGUCUAGUCCAUUCAGUGCAGAUUUGAAUAACCCCUUUCGCAAAGAGACACCUUUUACAAGGURGAUUUGUCUGGAGACAUGGGUUGGACAUGUAGCCUCGGGAGGUACGGUGCUGAAGGUG